Molecule: microRNA precursor, 50 nt
Filed under: Paramuricea clavata
Lineage: Eukaryota; Metazoa; Cnidaria; Anthozoa; Malacalcyonacea; Plexauridae
Source: RNAcentral
CCAGGCUCUUUCCUCUACGCUCAUAGGAGCGUAGAGGAAAGAGCCUGGGA